GAUGAAGAACGUAGCGAAAUGCGAUACUUGGUGUGAAUUGCAGAAUCCCGUGAACCAUCGAGUCUUUGAACGCAAGUUGCGCCCGAAGCCAUUAGGCCGAGGGCACGCCUGCCUGGGCGUCACACGUCGUUGCCCCCCCCAUCUACUCCUUCGGGAUUGCGGGGGGCGGAUGAUGGCCUCCCGUGCGCCUCGCCGCGCGGUUGGCAUAAAUGCCAAGUCCUCGGCGAUGCACGCCACGACAAUCGGUGGUUGCGAAACCUCGGUUGCCCGUCGUGUGCGGUCGUCGCGCAUCGAGGGCUCGAAAAAAUUGCCGGGUUCCGGCUCGGCUUUCAACGCGACCCCAGGUCAGGCGGGGUUACCCGCUGAAUUUAAGCAUAUCAUAAGCGGAGGA
RNAcentral lists this unclassified non-coding RNA (391 nucleotides) under soil metagenome. RNAcentral describes it as "partial contains 5.8S ribosomal RNA, internal transcribed spacer 2, and large subunit ribosomal RNA". The stretch from base 1 to 122 matches the Rfam family "5.8S ribosomal RNA", at positions 35 to 154 of the family's 154-position model. The record is from RNAcentral.